This 318-nucleotide ribosomal RNA is filed under the name uncultured bacterium. RNAcentral's name for it is "bacterial SSU rRNA". It matches the Rfam family "Bacterial small subunit ribosomal RNA", at positions 28 to 334 of the family's 1533-position model. The record is from RNAcentral.
GAUGAACGCUGGCGGCGUGCUUAACACAUGCAAGUCGAGGGGCAGCAUGAGGCGGAGAUUCGUCAAAGUCUUGAUGGCGACCGGCGCAAGGGUGCGUAACGCGUGAGCAACUUGCCCGUUUCUGGGGAAUAACCGGUGGAAACGCCGACUAAUACCCCAUAGUAUGUCCGAGAGGCAUCUUUUGGACAUUAAAGAACUUCGGAAACGGAUAGGCUCGCGUGACAUUAGCUAGAUGGCGGGGUAACGGCCCACCAUGGCGACGAUGUCUAGGGGUUCUGAGAGGAAGGUCCCCCACACUGGAACUGAGACACGGUCCAG